RNAcentral lists this ribosomal RNA (498 nucleotides) under uncultured bacterium. Its description in RNAcentral is "partial 16S ribosomal RNA". It matches the Rfam family "Bacterial small subunit ribosomal RNA", at positions 30 to 523 of the family's 1533-position model. The record is from RNAcentral.
AUUGAACGCUGGCGGCAUGCCUUACACAUGCAAGUCGAACGGUAACAGGUCUUCGGAUGCUGACGAGUGGCGAACGGGUGAGUAAUACAUCGGAACGUGCCUAGUAGUGGGGGAUAACUACUCGAAAGAGUGGCUAAUACCGCAUGAGAUCUACGGAUGAAAGCAGGGGAUCGCAAGACCUUGCGCUACUAGAGCGGCCGAUGGCAGAUUAGGUAGUUGGUGGGAUAAAAGCUUACCAAGCCGACGAUCUGUAGCUGGUCUGAGAGGACGAUCAGCCACACUGGGACUGAGACACGGCCCAGACUCCUACGGGAAGCAGCAGUGGGGAAUUUUGGACAAUGGGCGGAAGCCUGAUCCAGCAAUGCCGCGUGCAGGAUGAAGGCCUUCGGGUUGUAAACUGCUUUUGUACGGAACGAAAAGCCCCGGGUUAAUACCCUGGGGUCAUGACGGUACCGUAAGAAUAAGCACCGGCUAACUACGUGCCAGCCGCCGCCGUAA